Molecule: transfer-messenger RNA, 133 nt
Filed under: Deltaproteobacteria bacterium GWA2_45_12
Lineage: Bacteria; Deltaproteobacteria
Rfam family: transfer-messenger RNA
About the family: Bacterial tmRNA, also known as 10Sa RNA or SsrA, is named for its dual tRNA and mRNA-like properties. Its role is to liberate the mRNA from a stalled ribosome.
Source: RNAcentral
GGGGAUGAAAGGCUUCGACGGGAAAGGUGGCGAGUCCAGAGAAAAAAGCCCCUGGCGAAAACCUCCUAAAGCUCGCGGGUUUAAAAACCCAACCCUUUUCCGGAUGCGGGUUCGAUUCCCGCCAUCUCCACUC